Molecule: Y RNA, 108 nt
Filed under: Lepidothrix coronata (blue-crowned manakin)
Lineage: Eukaryota; Metazoa; Chordata; Aves; Passeriformes; Pipridae
Description: Y RNA (ENSLCOG00000015853.1)
Rfam family: Y RNA
About the family: Y RNAs are components of the Ro ribonucleoprotein particle (Ro RNP), in association with Ro60 and La proteins. The Y RNAs and Ro60 and La proteins are well conserved, but the function of the Ro RNP is not known.
Source: RNAcentral
GACUUGUCCAAAGCUAGUGGAUUAUCUCAAUUGAUUGUUCAUAGUUACAGAUUGAUCUCCUCAUUCUCUCUUUCCUCCUUUCCCACUACUGCUCUUGACUAGUUGUUG